Molecule: unclassified non-coding RNA, 454 nt
Filed under: Hevea brasiliensis (rubber tree)
Lineage: Eukaryota; Viridiplantae; Streptophyta; Magnoliopsida; Malpighiales; Euphorbiaceae
Source: RNAcentral
AAAUUGAAAUUAUAACUGAACAUGAUAAUGUUAAAUUCUAAAUAUCAUUUUCCCACUUUCCCAGGAAAAUUAAUUCCAAAUAGUAAUGUUGAAUUUCGGUAACCAAAAGCCCCAAAGGUUAAGUUUUACUUUUUAGAAUCUAAGUCUUUAAAAGUUAAGGAUUAAUUUUUGUCUAUAAGUACCAAUAAUUGUAACGUUGUUUCAUAGUUUUGAUCAAUACAAAUUCCAUCAGUUAUGUUCUAAGAUGUGUGAUGCAAUUCAAGCAUAGGUGUGAUGCCUAUGGAAGUUUAUAUAUGAAGCCUAAACCUUUCAUUUUACUGUUCAAAGCCUACAAAUUUCUUUCUUGUUUAAAUUCACUUCCCAAUUCCAUCCUUUAACAAACCCUAACUCUCCACCCAAGUUCCUGCUCAUUUUUAGCCUUCACAAAGCCCAAAUUUCAACACUAAUUCUAAGA